UAUUUCAAAAUGGCGUCUAAACCCAGUUGUUUGAUAGUUUGUAGCUCUUCACCAGAAGGUGUGUCUGCAUCUUCGUUUAUUCAUGCAUUCACUCUCACAAACUCAACUUUUAAUGUCCAAAUUGUCACACCUCAGGGUCGACAAAUUGAGUUUAUCCGAUCAGAUGAGAGUAGCAAGAGAUGGAUCAAUGACUUUAGAACAAAGACAAUAUCAGUGCCUGGUAAACUGGAAAAUAUUCAAGCCUCUAGGUUCUCUGCCAUGCUUAUUCCGAGUUCUCCUGGCGCUUUAAACGAUUUAGCUGAGAACGAGGUUUUGGCAGCGUUGUUGAACCGUUUCAUUGAACAAAAAAAGCCAAUUUGUGCUGUUGGGUAUGGCGUCGCUGCGUUAUUCGCAGCGAAGAACGAAAACAACAAGUCUUCGUGGAGUUUCAAGAGUUAUUCAUUGACUGCCCCUUCUUUGUUUGAAAUGGUCAAAACGGAGAAUUUUAACACCCUGAACAUAAUUCCUGAAGAUUACAUAAAGGAUCAUGGCGGAACAUACAGUGCCAGCGAAUGUGAUGCCGUUCACGUGGUUAUGGACCGUCAUGUUAUAACGGGGCAGAAUGACCAGUCAACGCUUUGUGCUGUACAAAACCUCAUAUUAUUAUGCAAUGCAAGACAUGGAAAAGCAAAGUCGUGAUACAGUCAUGAUAUGCAAGUUAAAUGCUCGACUAAAACAAAACCUAAAAGUGAACAAUUAGUAACCGCAUUUGGGGAUAGAAACGAAAUCAUGCGAUGUUGAAUUACGUUGAAUCGUCAGAUUUGUAUGCUAUUACAAUUCAAAGCUAUCUUAUUUACACUACAGUUGAUUCGUAUGCAAAGACAAUGCAAGAUAGACUUGAAAGAAAUCUAGUCUAUAUCAAUUACAGCAUGGAUAAUGAAUUUGUUCUUCUAAAGUCUAUUUACUGGGUAUAAACUAGGAAUACAACCAAAACUACAAAUUGAAACGAAAACAAAAAAAUAAAUUGAAAAAGUAUAGAUUAAUUUUAGCAAUAUGUAAAAUAGUAUAUUAUAUGGAUUUUGCAACAAUGCAACUCAUUAAUUUAAAAAUCAUGUAAAUUUAAGUGGAGCAUUGCUAUUCUUGUCUGUUACAAUUUAGCUUUUCUAGGUAACUCUGCCAGAUAAACAAUGUUUGCUGGCAUAUUAUGGUGAUGUUAUUUCAGGUCAAAGCAAGAGAAUCGAGGAGGCAGAGAUUAGGUACUGCCUUUUGCAAAGAAUCAGGUAAAGUGCAACACAAUGCGACAUGCUAGCACUUAUGGCUUGGUAUUUAACUAUAGAGGGCCAAUGUGUCACAAAUAACUAAAGGAGUGUCCACUAUCCAAAUGAAGCAAACAGAAAGAACCGGCCUCGUCAACUCUUGUUUUUGCAUUCAAGAGGAGAGAAUACUUUUGAGGGAGCAAAUAAAACUUGUCAAG
This 1453-nucleotide unclassified non-coding RNA is filed under the name Dendronephthya gigantea. Its description in RNAcentral is "glutamine amidotransferase-like class 1 domain- containing protein 1, transcript variant X2". Lineage: Eukaryota; Metazoa; Cnidaria; Anthozoa; Malacalcyonacea; Nephtheidae. The record is from RNAcentral.